GACGAACGCUGGCGGCGUGCCUAAUACAUGCAAGUAGAACGCCGUUUCGAACGGGUGAGUAACGCGUAGGUAAAUUCCUCAUAGCGGGGGAUAACCAUUGGAAACGAUAGCUUAUUACGCCUACUGUGAGCUGGACCUGCGUUGUUUUAGCUAGUUGGGGAGGGAAAGGCUCACCAAGGCGCCGAUCCAUAGCCGGCCUUGGAGGGGGAUCCGCCAAACUGGGACUGAGACACGGCCCAGAAUCCUACGGGAGGCAGCAGGAGGGAAUCUUCGGCAAUGGACGGAAGGCUGACCGAACAACGCCGGGGGAGUUAAGAAGGUUUUCGGAUCUUAAAGCUCUGUUGUUAGAGAAGCGGUAACUAACCAGAAAGGGACGGCUAACUACGUGCCAGCAGCCGCGGUAAUAC
Molecule: ribosomal RNA, 407 nt
Filed under: uncultured bacterium
Lineage: Bacteria
Description: partial 16S ribosomal RNA
Rfam family: Bacterial small subunit ribosomal RNA
Source: RNAcentral